GUGUUAGUGGUAGAUGGUGGUAGUUAGUGGUAGAUGGUGGUAGUUAGUGGUAGAUGGUGGUAGAUGGUGGUAUAUGGUGGUAGUUAGUGGUAGAUGGUGGUAGAAGGUGGUAGAUGGUGGUAGUUAGUGGUAGAUGGUGAUAGUUAGUGGUAGAUGGUGGUAGUUAGUGGUAGAUGGUGGUAGAUGGUGGUAUAUGGUGGUAGUUAGUGGUAGAUGGUGGUAGAAGGUGGUAGAUGGUGGUAGAUGGUGGUAGUUAGUGGUAGAUGGUGAUAGUUAGUGGUAGAUGGUGGUAGAUGGUUGUAGAUUGAUCGUUCUGUCUCUACACCACACUGUCACAAGGGGGAGGAAUAACUCUGAUCUAUCGGUAGUCUAAACUGUGGCACAGAUUGACCGUCUUUUCCUAAAUCAAUGGAGGUGUUUUCAGUCUGAUAGUCUCUCUUCUCUGGCAAUAAAGUCCUGCAUCAGGCGACAACAACAACACAUUAGCUGGCGGUGGUUCUGGAGUUAAGAGAGAACUUGGUGAAAUACAAUCGGGGAAUUACACUCGACAUGUGGACUGACGAUUUUCCAAAAGAAGGCACGGUGGGCUGUUGGUUUCUGUCCCUCUGAAAACCAGAAGUAAAUCAUUCUAAAAAAAAAAACUGUCUUUAUUUACCACAUUGUGGAAGAGUGGCAAACCCUCUGUAAGAAGGGAGGUUCUGACACACGGAGUCCACCUUUACUGAGGUGAAGAAGAGACGGGAUGGGAGGUUCUGACACACGGAGUCCUCCUUUACUGAGGUGAAGAAGAGACGGGAUGGAGGUUCUGACACACGGAGUCCUCCUUUACUGAGGUGAAGAAGAGACGGGAUGGGAGGUUCUGACACACGGAGUCCUCCUUUACUGAGGUGAAGAAGAGACGGGAUGGGAGGUUCUGACACACGGAGUCCUCCUUUACUGAGGUGAAGAAGAGACGGGAUGGGAGGUUCUGACACACGGAGUCCUCCUUUACUGAGGUGAAGAAGAGACGGAUGGGGAGGUUCUGACACACGGAGUCCUCCUUUACU
Oncorhynchus nerka (sockeye salmon) is the source of this 1046-nucleotide long non-coding RNA. RefSeq lists it as uncharacterized. The transcript has 3 exons. The record is from RefSeq and is a predicted model, not a curated record. NCBI's taxonomy places the organism in Eukaryota, Metazoa, Chordata, Actinopteri, Salmoniformes, Salmonidae.